GCAGAGCUCCAGCUGCUGGGCUUGCCCUAAAACCAACUACUUAGAUUGUAUUUGUUUAGGACCACAUCGUACCUUGUGAGCUCAGCAUAGAACAAGUUUUGUUCUUCAUCUCAGUGAUAAUCACACCAAGUGUUGUUUAGGGUGAUGCAAACUGAGAAUUAUAUUUCAGGAACAGAACACAAAAGAUUCAGUAACUGAGUCAGUUGUAUGAACUAUGCAGAAGAAUGCAUAGUUCAUACAGCUGACUGUCUCCCUGAAAUAGGAGAGGCUUCUCUUACAGGCCAAAUUUAUUCUAGCCUGAGGUGACAGAAAACUAAGUUCUUUCCCUAAAGCAAGUUUCCCCAAAUUCACAUCUAGAUCUUAGUAUCUUUAUUCUUCAACUCCUGCUGCUUCCUAAACAAACACUAGCCAGUGUCACAUCCCUCGCAGCUGCAGCUUUUUACUCCCAACAGAGUCCCUGCUAAAUACUUGAUUGGACUCAGCUGGUUCUGCCUGGGCUGCAGUUUCAGUGUAUGUUCAGACUGGAGAUCCAGAGCAGUUUCUCAUCAGAAGGGGAAAAAGAUAUGUCCCCUUUUACCUUCCAUGAAAUACGUAUCUAGAAGAAGGGGUGUGAGUGAAUGGAACAGAGGAGAAAGGUGUAAGACUAAGGGAACUUUGGAGAUUUGAAAUAAAGGGACAAGUGGGUAGGUAUAUGGAGUAUGAGUGAGGUGAGAAAAAUGAAAGAGGAAAAGGGAGAGAGUGGACCUGAGAGAGAGAGUCAGGGAAAGCUGAAAUGUUGAAAGAAUGAUGAGAGUCAGUACUUCAGUCUGAGAAAAAGAAGGCAGAAAAGAUCCUCCAAAAUACGCAGUCAUCAGAAGGAAUGAAGGAAUAACUUGCAGUGGAGCUGUGGAGACAUGAGAUGAGGUCCAGCUCCUGGACCUGUCAUGUCAGCAGGUUUGCAGCGAAAGGAUUCCAUUGAGAUAUGGAUAUAGAUGAAGACAUUUUUCCAUAAUGACUCAAACAACUGUCCUGACCCAUCUAAAAUUCCUCGUCUCAGUAAGAGGAAAACCAGGAUCUCUGCUGGUGAGACAAGUGGCAAGACCCGGGCAGAGGAGCCUGCCCAGGGCCAGCACCAGGGAUCCAGCUGGAAGGCAGAUAAAGUGGCUGGCCUCCCUGCCAUUUGGGGCCAGGAGGACAUGCUUCAACAGUUUGAACCAGGCCACUGCAAAGAUCACAUCUUCUGGGCCAUAGCUGCCCAGGAUGGCAGAGUGAGGGUACCAGAAAACAUGAUAUCAGUGUUGCCCAAAGGCCAGCUGUGCAACCACGGCCCACUAACAGCUGGCCCAGAGGUGCAGGAAGCUCUGCUGCAGUGCCCAUACCACAGCCCAGGUGGCUGUGUGGUUCCUGUCUGGGUCUGGCAAGCAUGCAGCCAUGGGGCUGCAGGUCCAAGGGGGCAGAUGCUGUUGCAGGUGGCAGCAGGUCACCACCAGGCAGCAGCCUCCGCUGCCAGACUGCUGCAGUGGGUAGAGGGUGCAGGGGCCACUCCAGGUUAGGGCUGCCUCAGCAGUCCAGCUGACACAAGGGGUAGUCCCCAAAUCCCAACUGUCUGUGCCUCAGAAGCUCCCUGAGCUGCUCCCCAGGGCAGUUUCUUAUACUGCUGGGGCCAGCAGAAGCUCCCUCUUCUCCCUGGCUGAAAAUCCGGGAGGAUCUGGGCAGGAUCAGUUUGCCUCAAGUAGCACAGUUUGCCCCACACCGAAGUGCAUGUUCAGGCAUGCGUGCUCAGGCACACAUCUCCAGCACAAAUUUGUGCCACUGCUAUUUGAGCUGCUGCAAGCACAUGUGCCUCUGAUGUGGGGAGACCUGGAUCUGUUUAUCAGUCUAACUACCAAAGGAAAAAUGCAGCAUCAUUUGUGACCUUGUGUGACUUUAAGCAGGGCAUUUUCCCUCUUGCUGCUGCUGCUUCUCUCAUUCUCUGUCCAGACUCUAAGAUAUUUGGGAUGAGGAUUGUCACUGCUAAGCAUACACAUGUUGCCAAGCAUAGUAGGACUUGGUCUCAUCUGGGGUUUCUAGCUGCAGCUGCAUACAAAUAAUAAUAGUUACACAAUUUGUAUUGGUAGGAAGUCUUGUUAAAUAUGCUAUUAUGUAUCUAUUAAAUCAGUAUCUAUGGCAUCUUUUCAUGCCAAACUCUUUUGUAUGCAGUUUCUGCAGUGGAAUCUUGAUUUCCAUCACUGUCAUGUAAACACAUCUGGGAUGGAAAGCAGCAUUUAUUCAAGAUUGCAUGUCUCUAUAAUGCAACAUUUUCAAACGGUAUUUAGUUGAAAAGUGCAAAAGAAACUUAGUCAGGUGGGCAGAAUGCAAUUAACUCAGCACUGCAAAAUUCCAUUUACCCUCUUCCCUCAGGCAAAUCAAAUCUGGCAAAGCAGAAUUAACAGAGCUGGAGUCUGGCCAGCAAUAAGAUUAACACCCUGAUUCUUACUGAGAGUGUCACAGGAUUAUUAACACCUAACCAAAAAAAAAGCACCUAGAUACUCCUUAGGUCUUAUCCAAGUAUUCACCCCCAUCAAACACUGCUUAGCAUUUCAUAUGAUAGAGAAAAAGCUCACAGAACAUGAACUACAGGUCAUGGAGACAUUCAUGACAAAUCAGUUGACAGAGUUUUAAAGCACUAUGUAAAUACCAGCCCUGUUCAUUGAACUGUAACACUAGGUAUAGAUUUUUUUGGAUGUGGCCAUUAGUAACUAUAAUUUUAAAAUUAAAAAGAAGCCAUUUGUAAAUUUUCCAAAUCCUAUAGCAUUUGCAUUUUUUUUUGUGGCAAGUCAUAUGUUUCUUUCAGGUUGCAGUUUGCGCACUUUAGGACAACAUUUGUGUUUCCUUCGGGUAAUGUUGUGAUGAAGAAGCUUGCUAAGUCAAUGGAGGAUCUUGGAGUCCUUAAAUUCUAAGAGCUGAAGCAGUCACUUAUUUUCCUUGCAUUCAGUGUCCCAUCUCUGCGAUAUAUCUAUAAAGUGAGAUAUCAGGAACUGCUAACUGUAGGUUUGUCGUCUGACCUAGUUAAGUGACUGUAAUGCAAGCAGGGACUAAUGAGCUUUGUUCAGAGACCAGAUGUUGACACUGUUGUUAAGCAAAAACAUUGACUUGUUCUCAGGCUGAAAAACGAGGUUGUGAGACACAUUGGUUCAGUUAAUUCCUCUGGCACUGGAUGGCACUGUUGCACUUCAGCAGCACAGUCAUGCAGCUCUUCAUUCUCAAAAGGGUUGGCAGAGGCAGAUAGCUUGGAGAUUUCAGUUAGCGUUUUGUGCAUGCUGCUGUUAUCUUCAAGCUUCCCCCCUUUAUCCCGCUCCCUCCACCCGCACUCUUGUAAACUCUUUGUAAGCCCUCAGGCUGUUUUAUAGAUAAAAUGUGAAAAGAAAAACCACGGCAAUCUCUCCAGUGGUUUUCAUUAUCGCACCUCUCUAACAACUACAGAAUUCGCCUUUCUUUUCAAAUUGGAUUUUACUGAUCUCUGAAAAUAAAGCUGCAGCUUCCAGACUGACAACUGGACUGAUGUGUGUUAACAAUGAGUUAUAACACGUAUUCCACUGAAUGUGAGAUGUUAAAGGAAUAGCACAUCUGCUUGCAAUCUAAACCCCUAACUGCUGGGAGGUGCAGAAUUUGGUGGAGAUGUAACAGGCCAUGGAACCUCAUCUCUAUACAGAAUAACUUAUUAACAUUGC
Molecule: long non-coding RNA, 3689 nt
Organism: Alligator mississippiensis (American alligator)
Lineage: Eukaryota; Metazoa; Chordata; Crocodylia; Alligatoridae
Exons: 3
Source: RefSeq, a predicted model, not a curated record